RNAcentral lists this ribosomal RNA (433 nucleotides) under uncultured bacterium. RNAcentral describes it as "bacterial SSU rRNA". It matches the Rfam family "Bacterial small subunit ribosomal RNA", at positions 28 to 488 of the family's 1533-position model. The record is from RNAcentral.
GAUGAACGCUGGCGGCGUGCCUAACACAUGCAAGUCGAGCGAUUCUCUUCGGAGAAGAGCGGCGGACGGGUGAGUAACGCGUGGGUAACCUGCCCUGUACACACGGAUAACAUACCGAAAGGUAUGCUAAUACGGGAUAACAUAAGAAAUUCGCAUGUUUUUCUUAUCAAAGCUCCGGCGGUACAGGAUGGACCCGCGUCUGAUUAGCUAGUUGGUGAGGUAAUGGCUCACCAAGGCGACGAUCAGUAGCCGACCUGAGAGGGUGAUCGGCCACAUUGGAACUGAGACACGGUCCAAACUCCUACGGGAGGCAGCAGUGGGGAAUAUUGCACAAUGGGCGAAAGCCUGAUGCAGCAACGCCGCGUGAGCGAUGAAGGCCUUCGGGUCGUAAAGCUCUGUCCUCAAGGAAGAUAAUGACGGUACUUGAGGAGGA